This 497-nucleotide ribosomal RNA is filed under the name uncultured bacterium. Its description in RNAcentral is "partial 16S ribosomal RNA". It matches the Rfam family "Bacterial small subunit ribosomal RNA", at positions 28 to 507 of the family's 1533-position model. The record is from RNAcentral.
GAUGAACGCUGGCGGCGUGCCUAAUACAUGCAAGUCGAGCGAACAGACGAGGAGCUUGCUCCUCUGACGUUAGCGGCGGACGGGUGAGUAACACGUGGAUAACCUACCUAUAAGACUGGGAUAACUUCGGGAAACCGGAGCUAAUACCGGAUAAUAUAUUGCACCGCAUGGUUCAAUAGUGAAAUACGGUUUUUCUGGCACUUAUAGAUGGAUCCCCGCCGCAUUAGCUAGUUGGUAAGGUAACGGCUUACCAAGGCAACGAUGCGUAGCCGACCUGAGAGUGUGAUCGGCCACACUGGAACUGAGACACGGUCCAGACUCCUACGGGAGGCAGCAGUAGGGAAUCUUCCGCAAUGGGCGAAAGCCUGACGGAGCAACGCCGCGUGAGUGAUGAAGGUCUUCGGAUCGUAAAACUCUGUUAUUAGGGAAGAACAAAUGUGUAAGUAACUAUGCACGUCUUGACGGUACCUAAUCAGAAAGCCACGGCUAACUACGUG